AUUGAACGCUGGCGGCCGGCCUAACACAUGCAAGUCGAACGAGUGGCGGACGGGUGAGUAAUGUAUGGGAAACUGCCCGAUGGAGGGGGAUAACUACUGGCAACGGUAGCUAAUACCGCAUACCAUCGGAUGUGCCCAGAUGGGAUUAGCUAGUAGGUGGGGUAACGGCUCACCUAGGCGACGAGCCCUAGCUGGUCUGAGAGGAUGACCAGCCCAACUGGAACUGAGACACGGUCCAGACUCCUACGGGAGGCAGCAGUGGGGAAUAGUGCACAAUGGGCGCAAGCCUGAUGCAGCCAUGCCGCGUGGAUGAAGAAGGCCUUCGGGUUGUAAAGUACUUUCAUCGGGGAGGCGUGACCCGCAGAAGAAGCACCGGCUAACUCCGUGCCAGCAGCCGCGGUAAUAC
This 406-nucleotide ribosomal RNA is filed under the name uncultured bacterium. RNAcentral describes it as "partial 16S ribosomal RNA". It matches the Rfam family "Bacterial small subunit ribosomal RNA", at positions 29 to 526 of the family's 1533-position model. The record is from RNAcentral.